GACGAACGCUGGCGGCGUGCUUAACACAUGCAAGUCGAACGGUAAGGCCCUUCGGGGUACACGAGUGGCGAACGGGUGAGUAACGCGUGGGUGAUCUGCCCUGCACUUCGGGAUAAGCCUGGGAAACUGGGUCUAAUACCGGAUAGGACCCUGGGAUGCAUGUCCUGGGGUGGAAAGCUUUUGCGGUGUGGGAUGGGCCCGCGGCCUAUCAGCUUGUUGGUGGGGUGAUGGCCUACCGAGGCGACGACGGGUAGCCGGCCUGAGAGGGUGACCGGCCACACUGGGACUGAGAUACGGGCCAGACUCCUACGGGAGGCAGCAGUGGGGAAUAUUGCACAAUGGGCGCAAGCCUGAUGCAGCGACGCCGCGUGAGGGAUGACGGCCUUCGGGUUGUAAACCUCUUUCAGCACCGACGAAGCGCAAGUGACGGUAGGUGCAGAAGAAGGACCGGCCAACUACGUGCCAGCAGCCGCGGUAA
This 478-nucleotide ribosomal RNA is filed under the name uncultured bacterium. Its description in RNAcentral is "partial 16S ribosomal RNA". It matches the Rfam family "Bacterial small subunit ribosomal RNA", at positions 28 to 523 of the family's 1533-position model. The record is from RNAcentral.